This 497-nucleotide ribosomal RNA is filed under the name uncultured bacterium. Its description in RNAcentral is "partial 16S ribosomal RNA". It matches the Rfam family "Bacterial small subunit ribosomal RNA", at positions 28 to 507 of the family's 1533-position model. The record is from RNAcentral.
GAUGAACGCUGGCGGCGUGCCUAAUACAUGCAAGUCGAGCGAACAGAUGAGGAGCUUGCUCCUCUGACGUUAGCGGCGGACGGGUGAGUAACACGUGGAUAACCUACCUAUAAGACUGGGAUAACUUCGGGAAACCGGAGCUAAUACCGGAUAAUAUAUUGAACCGCAUGGUUCAAUAGUGAAAGACGGUUUUGCUGUCACUUAUAGAUGGAUCCGCGCCGCAUUAGCUAGUUGGUAAGGUAACGGCUUACCAAGGCGACGAUGCGUAGCCGACCUGAGAGGGUGAUCGGCCACACUGGAACUGAGACACGGUCCAGACUCCUAAGGGAGGCAGCAGUAGGGAAUCUUCCGCAAUGGGCGAAAGCCUGACGGAGCAACGCCGCGUGAGUGAUGAAGGUCUUCGGAUCGGAAAACUCUGUUAUUAGGGAAGAACAAAUGUGUAAGUAACUAUGCACGUCUUGACGGUACCUAAUCAGAAAGCCACGGCUAACUACGUG